UACGAAGUGGGCUAGCGUUGUUCGGAGUUACUGGGCGUAAAGGGCGCGUAGGCGGCCCUCCAAGUCGGGUGUGAAAGCCCACGGCUCAACCGUGGAAUUGCACUCGAGACUGAAGGGCUCGAGGACGGGAGAGGAUGGUGGAAUUCCCGGUGUAGCGGUGAAAUGUGUAGAGAUCGGGAGGAACACCGGUGGCGAAGGCGGUCUUCUGGACGGUGACUGACGCUGAGGCGCGAAAGCGUGGGGAGCAAACGGG
RNAcentral lists this ribosomal RNA (253 nucleotides) under uncultured bacterium. RNAcentral's name for it is "partial 16S ribosomal RNA". It matches the Rfam family "Bacterial small subunit ribosomal RNA", at positions 524 to 776 of the family's 1533-position model. The record is from RNAcentral.